Molecule: ribosomal RNA, 501 nt
Filed under: uncultured bacterium
Lineage: Bacteria
Description: partial 16S ribosomal RNA
Rfam family: Bacterial small subunit ribosomal RNA
Source: RNAcentral
GACGAACGCUGGCGGCGUGCCUAAUACAUGCGAGUCGAGCGGACCGGAUUGGGGCUUGCCUUGAUUCGGUCAGCGGCGGACGGGUGAGUAACACGUGGGCAACCUGCCCGCAAGACCGGGAUAACUCCGGGAAACCGGAGCUAAUACCGGAUAACACCGAAGACCGCAUGGUCUUCGGUUGAAAGGCGGCCUUUGGGCUGUCACUUGCGGAUGGGCCCGCGGCGCAUUAGCUAGUUGGUGAGGUAACGGCUCACCAAGGCGACGAUGCGUAGCCGGCCUGAGAGGGUGACCGGCCACACUGGGACUGAGACACGGCCCAGACUCCUACGGGAGGCAGCAGUAGGGAAUCUUCCGCAAUGGGCGAGAGCCUGACGGAGCGACGCCGCGUGAGCGAAGAAGGCCUUCGGGUCGUAAAGCUCUGUUGUGAGGGACGAAGGAGCGUCGUUCGAAGAGGGCGGCGCGGUGACGGUACCUCACGAGAAAGCCCCGGCUAACUACGUG